RNAcentral lists this ribosomal RNA (165 nucleotides) under uncultured bacterium. RNAcentral describes it as "partial 16S ribosomal RNA". It matches the Rfam family "Bacterial small subunit ribosomal RNA", at positions 1336 to 1500 of the family's 1533-position model. The record is from RNAcentral.
UAGUAAUCGCGGAUCAGCAUGCCGCGGUGAAUACGUUCCCGGGCCUUGUACACACCGCCCGUCACACCAUGGGAGCCGGUAAUGCCCGAAGUCAGUAGCCUAACCGCAAGGAGGGCGCUGCCGAAGGUAGGAUUGGCGACUGGGGUGAAGUCGUAACAAGGUAUC